Molecule: small nuclear RNA, 121 nt
Filed under: Chinchilla lanigera (long-tailed chinchilla)
Lineage: Eukaryota; Metazoa; Chordata; Mammalia; Rodentia; Chinchillidae
Description: U4 spliceosomal RNA (ENSCLAG00000020800.1)
Rfam family: U4 spliceosomal RNA
About the family: U4 small nuclear RNA (U4 snRNA) is a component of the major U2-dependent spliceosome. The structure of U4 snRNA from yeast and human has been reported.
Source: RNAcentral
AGCUUUGCUCAGUGGCAGUAUCGUAGCCAAUGAGGUUUAUCUGAGGCAUGAUUAUUGCUAAUUGAAAACAUCGAAAGAACAGAAUAUAGUCCAGAAGGUAAUAUGUGUCUAUGUCCAAAUA